Molecule: ribosomal RNA, 807 nt
Filed under: Rhytidodera bowringii
Lineage: Eukaryota; Metazoa; Arthropoda; Insecta; Coleoptera; Cerambycidae
Description: partial 12S ribosomal RNA
Source: RNAcentral
GAUAAUAUUACUUAAAUUUGUCGGAUACAGUUAAAUUUAAAAUGAAGGCUUGAAGUUAGGGUUUAUUAGGUGAAAUUAGUAUGCUUUAAAGUGAGCCGGUUUUUGUUUGUGAGGCUGAGAAAUUUAAUAUUUAAACUAGGAUUAGAUACCCUAUUAUUUUAAACGUGAAGUUAUUUUCUGACCAGUAUUAGUUAUUUUCUUCAAAAUUAAAGAUUUUGGCGGUAUUUUAGUCUGUUCAGAGGAACCUGUCCUGUAAUUGAUGAUCCACGAUUUAAUAUACUUUUUCUUUUGUUUUCAUAUCGUCGUAGUUUGAAAAUUUUAUUAGAAUUAAAAUUUUCAUGAUUUUUUUAAAAAAAGGAAAUCAGAUCAAGGUGUAGCUAAUGGGAAAGGAUGUGAUGGGUUACAUUGAAUUUAUUUAGGAAUUUUAGCUUGUGAAGUUAAAUGAAUUUGGAUUUGAUAGUAAUAUUAAUUAGAUUAUUAAUAUGAUUUAAGCUCUAGAAUAUGCACAUAUCGCCCGUCGCUUUCACUCUAAAGUGGAAUAAGUCGUAACAAAGUAGGCUUAUCGGAAGAUGCGCCUGGAAUGGCAGGCUAGAGCUUGUUAUAAAGCAUUUUAGUUACAUUAAAAAGUUAGUUGUGAAAAUCAAUUUGGCUUGAAGCGUUUAUCGUUACUUUAUAAUUUUUUUUAUAUUAUUUUAUAAUAAGAAUAUUAUUUUUUAUUAUUAGCUAAGAAAGAAUUAUUUUUAGUUAUAGGUUAUUAGUACCGUGAGGGAACUGAUAAAAUGCAUUUCAAAGAAAGAUUAAUUUUCU